AGGGUGAGAGCCCCGUCG
This 18-nucleotide non-coding RNA is filed under the name Arabidopsis thaliana (thale cress). The record is from RNAcentral. Lineage: Eukaryota; Viridiplantae; Streptophyta; Magnoliopsida; Brassicales; Brassicaceae.